CCUACGGGUGGCAGCAGUGAGGAAUAUUGGUCAAUGGGCGCUAGCCUGAACCAGCCAAGUAGCGUGAAGGAUGACUGCCCUAUGGGUUGUAAACUUCUUUUAUAUAGGAAUAAAGUGCAGCAUGUGUACCUUUUUGCAUGUACCUUAUGAAUAAGGAUCGGCUAACUCCGUGCCAGCAGCCGCGGUAAUACGGAGGAUCCGAGCGUUAUCCGGAUUUAUUGGGUUUAAAGGGAGCGUAGGUGGGUUGUUAAGUCAGUUGUGAAAGUUUGCGGCUCAACCGUAAAAAUGCAGUUGAUACUGGCAGCCUUGAGUACAGUAGAGGUAGGCGGAAUUCGUGGUGUAGCGGUGAAAUGCUUAGAUAUCACGAAGAACUCCGAUUGCGAAGGCAGCGUGCUGGACUGUAACUGACGCUGAUGCUCGAAAGUGUGGGUAGCAAACAGGAUUAGAUACCCGAGUAGUC
This 460-nucleotide ribosomal RNA is filed under the name uncultured bacterium. RNAcentral's name for it is "partial 16S ribosomal RNA". It matches the Rfam family "Bacterial small subunit ribosomal RNA", at positions 338 to 795 of the family's 1533-position model. The record is from RNAcentral.